UGAUGCUUAUAAAGAAAAAUUAUGUUUUCUUCUUUUUGUGUUAUAGGUCUUUUCUUGAUUAAAAUAGCAGCAUUUUUAAUUAUUCAUAACUUGAAGAGAUUUUUUUAUCUUACUAUUUCAAGUUAAUGAAGGGUUCAUCGGAGUAUCUGUGCAAAAUUAUUUUGGGUUUUAAACAAUCUCGUCUUAGAAAAAUUUUUGCUCAAUGUUGUUCCAUAAUAAUGUUACUUAUGAGGGGAGUAAUUGGUAAUGCUUAGCUUUUUACAAACAGUAGCCAUUUGUAUGUACAGAUUGUACGUAUUUACGGUGGUAGUUUUCUUGAAGAGAGAAGAGAAGACAGAGAGGGAAAUAAAAUAUAUAUUUUUUUAGAAAAAAAGUGUAGUCACCAUUAAGCAAUGAAUGGUGUAUAGAAAAAACUGCAAUAAACCUUGCUUUUACUCUCUCUCUCUCUCUGUAUAUAUAUUUUUAAGGCAUCUGACAUUUUCUUAUGCACUAGGAAAAACUGACAGAAAAAGAAAAAAGGAUGAAAAGACUCACUUCUCUUAUCCGUUGCCCUUCAAAAUUGAAAUAUGAUGAUUCGAAAUAUGUAUGGCUGAAAUCAUUGACAAAUUCGAACACGCCAUCUUCUUUUCUUCACGGUGCUCUUCAUCUCGAACGCGCCAUCUUUCUGCCUCCCGCCUCACCUUAUAAAGAUGAAGAAAAUCUAUCUCCUCCAUCAUUCACUUUCUCCUCUUGUCCGUUUCCCUCCAAGCCCCAACGUGAAAUCUGAUAAUUUGAAACACCAAAAACAAUAACCCCACCGCCCCCUGGCCACUUUUCUUCAAUGAUCUUGACACUCUAAACUUCCACCAUUAAGACCUUCAUUUUCUACACCCGAUGAUGCCAAUCACUUUUUUCAACAUCCUUCGUUCUUCUCCUCUUGGUUCCCCUCAAAACUUCAAUUCAAAGAGAUUAGAUUUGAUGGGUCAAUUUGAACUGGAGAAGAUGGGGAACGGUGAUGUGGUUAUGGAGACAAGGUUACGCAUACCUUGCCUGCGACAUUUACGCUCGAUAGCGGGCCUGAUAACAUCAAGGAAGCUUGGGGGAGUUGAAGCUCAAUCCUCCAUUUUCUCAUGAGAUUUCAGAGGAAGAGCUGACACAUAAAAGAAACAGAAAAAAAAAAUGAAAAGACUCUCUUCUCAUAUCCGUUGCCCUCCAAAAUUGAAAUCUGAAAACUUAAGACGCCAUCUUUUCUUUAUUUUUUCUCAAAAAUCUUGCCACUUUCCACUCUCCACUUGACUUGGGCUACGUUUUUUCUUCAAGCAGCUCUUCAUCUUGAACACACCAUCUCCUGCUUCCCGCCUCAUAUGCUCAUUGCUACGUUUUAAAGAUGAAGAAAAUCUAACCCCCUUCCGUCAUUCACUUUCUCUUCUCUUAUCCAUUCCCCUCCAAGCCCCAACAUGAAAUCUGAUAAUUUGAAACACCAAAAAGAACACCCCCGCAGGCCCAUGGAUCAUUACAAUCUUCAAUUUCUACACUCCACGAUGGCAAUCACAUUUCUCAACAACCUUCGCUUUUCUCCUUGGUUCCCCUCAAAACCUCAAUCCAAAGGGAUUAGAUUUGAUGGGUCAAUAGUGGAUAUGUUUCAACUGGGAAAGAUGGAGAACGGUGAUGUGGUUGUGGAGACAAGCAUUACGCGUACUUUGCCUGCAGCAUUGACGUUUUGGUGCGGGCUUGAGAGCAUCAAGGAAGCUUUGGAGGAGUUGAAGCUCAAUCCUCCAUCUUCUUCUCAUGGGAUCAUAAGAUUUCAGGUGUUUAAAAGGGGAUUAGAUUUGAUGGGACAAUGGUGGAUAUGGGGGUGAAGUGGGCAAGAUGGAGAAUGGUGAGAUGGUUGUGGAGACAAGCAUUACGCGUACCUUGCCUGCAGCAUUGACGUUUUGGUGCGGGCUUGAGAGCAUCAAGGAAGCUUUGGAGGAGUUGAAGCUCAAUCCUCCAUCUUCUUCUCAUUGAAUUAUAAGAUUUCAGGUUUUGGAAGACAUGCGAGGUUUAUUGCAAGCAGCACACGAAAGAAAGCAAGCUGCAGUUGCUGAGCUAUCUGCUAAACAUCGAAAGGAUAAGGGUCAACUCCCCUCGCAAUUGCUGUUUGUAAAGAGGAUCACUGGGCACAUCAGUUUCAAAUCUCUGACCAAGGUGAGUUUUUGAAUUUUUUGUUUUAUCAUUUUUCAUCAAUAUAAUUAUAUUGUACAUGCUUAAAUUCUCCUAGAGAUCUUGCAAAUUCGAAAAUAUGGAGGUAGUAUGUUUCUUUAGAGUUAACAGAAAGAACUGAAAA
Molecule: non-coding RNA, 2305 nt
Organism: Carica papaya (papaya)
Lineage: Eukaryota; Viridiplantae; Streptophyta; Magnoliopsida; Brassicales; Caricaceae
Source: RefSeq, a predicted model, not a curated record